This is a long non-coding RNA of Ostrea edulis (European flat oyster), 474 nucleotides long. RefSeq lists it as uncharacterized. Lineage: Eukaryota; Metazoa; Mollusca; Bivalvia; Ostreida; Ostreidae. The transcript is spliced from 3 exons. The record is from RefSeq and is a predicted model, not a curated record.
GUCAAAAGGACGCUGAGUCUUAUAAUCAUAAUGUUCUAUCGUUAAAAUGAUAACGUCCUAAGGACCCUGUUGUGGUGAGGGUAUGUCUCGAGACACAGUUAGUUAACUGAGUCUGGACUCCUAUUCAGCAUCAGAUUCAAGAUCACAACAUCAUUACAUGAUCCUAGAAGCUGUAUAAAGGAGACUGACUGGCUGGGUGUCCUUCUCCCCUUCCUGUGCAGUAGGACUUAAUGACUGUCUCCAGCUGAGGACGUCUGUGUAAUGUUAUCAAUAGACAUGAUCUAAAGGAUUAUGAUCAAACUGGACUGCAUGAAGAACAAAGUAAAAUUAUGAGGAGGUGAUUGAAGUUGCAGUUCUUCUCAAAUCCCAGGACCCACACUAAGGCCAGUCUGCUGUACUUCCAACUGAUUCAUAAUAAUGCCCUGCCCAUUCGUCCAAAUACAUGUACCAAAUCACUGAUGAACGGUGUGGGCC